This 392-nucleotide long non-coding RNA is filed under the name Salvia miltiorrhiza (redroot sage). Its description in RNAcentral is "long non-coding RNA (SMIL_LNC007025)". Lineage: Eukaryota; Viridiplantae; Streptophyta; Magnoliopsida; Lamiales; Lamiaceae. The record is from RNAcentral.
CCUCGCCGAUUCCUCCGAGCAGAAGAAGGCAUCUGUGCGGCGGACGUGGAACUGAUCUGCCAGUGCUCGUCCACUACACCACCAGCCACGCACUGCCGUUCCAGAUCGCCGGUCGCCGCGCUGCUGCUGCUGGAUCUGGACGCCGCGCUGCUACUGCUGCUGCUGGAUCGUGAGUUGCGGUUGGGAGAAAAAAGUUGAGAGCACGCGUGUUUGACUGAGCACGCCCCAGACCGUUCGACGCUGCCGGGCCGCUCGCCGUUGCUGGCUGGCCGGACCCUGGCUCCGCUCGCCGCUGCUGGCUGGCCGGACACUGGUCGCACCCACCACCGCCGAUCGCGCCUCCGCAGCAAGCGCAGUCAACUCGCUCCAGCUGACCGAGUUCGCAACGGCAA